CCGAGGCUAAAAGUCUACUCACCGUGCCUUGGUGAGAGACAGCGAGAGACUUGCCAUCGGUAGGUUUUUACCCGAACGAAACCAGAAAAAUGAAAAGAAGAAAAGAAAAAGGAGAGAGAGAGAGAGGGAGGGAGAGACCGUAGCAAGAAAAAGAAAGGAAGAUGAAAAAAAUGUAAAAAUCAAAGAUCUGAUCUUCAAUCGAUCUCGACAUCGCUAGUUUGUUGAAUAUGGGAAUGAGGGAAGCAUUGUACUGCUCCAAGCCUGCUUAGAUCAAGUGAAAUUUCAGAGCGAAGACUUUCAGUCAAAGCCAGAUCUUCUAUUAGCUAUCUUUAGAUACUUUUUGGGUAGACUAAAUUUCAUCACAGUUUUCUGUGAAGCACUGAGAAGUAAAGCGAUGAGUGAAGGAUUUCUAGAAGGUCUCUCCAAGCAAUUGCAUUUGUCUACACCUGAGAAAAUUGUUGUUGGUCUUGCUCUGUCAGAUUCAGGAAAUACGAAUUUCAGGAUUAGAGGUAAGUUGAGUUGCUUGGAGGAAUGUAUCGCACGCUCCAUGAAUGACAUGGUGUAUUUGUAUGACAUGAGUUGUGUUUUUAGCAUUCCUUAAGUUGCUUGAUUUAGAGAUAAGUUUUGAAACAUCUGUUCUAAGAUACCUUUGUACAAAGAUUCCUAUUGCAUUUGUUUUUUCUCCCAUGGUGUUUUGCAUUUAAAUCUUGGUCAUUUUUCCAAGGCAAAAUUUCUUCAUGGCACAUAUUGAGGAAUUAUGUACAAAGCUUGCUUCUGUUUCUCAUGAGCAAAUUCAUAACAUUGUUUUAUUUCUCUCUUAGUCCGAGGGCCUAGCAAAGCAUGUGGAUUCUUUUACAAAGAUGUUGUCCUUGUUAUAACUCAAAGAGAGGACUCAUUUUAUACUAGCCCCAGUACUGGUGGAUGAUUCAUCUGAUGUCAACUCAUUGAGGUAUUUGGAAUCAUUCUUUGAGUGCACUGAGAAUGAUUUUGAUGCUGUUCUAGCUGAGAUAGAGA
Long non-coding RNA from Magnolia sinica, 1014 nucleotides. RefSeq lists it as uncharacterized. NCBI's taxonomy places the organism in Eukaryota, Viridiplantae, Streptophyta, Magnoliopsida, Magnoliales, Magnoliaceae. The transcript has 3 exons. The record is from RefSeq and is a predicted model, not a curated record.